This is a transfer RNA of Purpureocillium lilacinum, 100 nucleotides long. It matches the Rfam family "tRNA". Rfam says of the family: Transfer RNA (tRNA) molecules are approximately 80 nucleotides in length. Their secondary structure includes four short double-helical elements and three loops (D, anti-codon, and T loops). NCBI's taxonomy places the organism in Eukaryota, Fungi, Ascomycota, Sordariomycetes, Hypocreales, Ophiocordycipitaceae. The record is from Rfam.
GCCAAGAUGGCCGAGUGGUUAAGGCGGUGGUUUUAAGCUUUUGUUUCCUGCUUCGACACCACUAUCGAGAGAUUCCAGGGUUCGAACCCCUGUCUUGGCA